This 548-nucleotide ribosomal RNA is filed under the name uncultured bacterium. RNAcentral's name for it is "bacterial SSU rRNA". It matches the Rfam family "Bacterial small subunit ribosomal RNA", at positions 355 to 895 of the family's 1533-position model. The record is from RNAcentral.
UGGGGAAUCUUCCGCAAUGGACGAAAGUCUGACGGAGCAACGCCGCGUGAACGAAGAAGGUCUUCGGAUUGUAAAGUUCUGUGAUUCGGGACGAAAGGGUUUGUGGUGAAUAAUCAUAGACAUUGACGGUACCGAAAAAGCAAGCCACGGCUAACUACGUGCCAGCAGCCGCGGUAAUACGUAGGUGGCAAGCGUUGUCCGGAAUUAUUGGGCGUAAAGCGCGCGCAGGCGGUUUCUUAAGUCCAUCUUAAAAGCGUGGGGCUCAACCCCAUGAGGGGAUGGAAACUGGGAAGCUGGAGUAUCGGAGAGGAAAGUGGAAUUCCUAGUGUAGCGGUGAAAUGCGUAGAGAUUAGGAAGAACACCGGUGGCGAAGGCGACUUCCUAGACGAAAACUGACGCUGAGGCGCGAAAGCGUGGGGAGCAAACAGGAUUAGAUACCCUGGUAGUCCACGCCGUNNCGAUGGAUACUAGGUGUAGGAGGUAUCGACCCCUCCUGUGCCGGAGUUAACGCAAUAAGUAUCCCGCCUGGGAAGUACGAUCGCAAGAUU